GAGUGGGAUGCUGGCCGUGGUGAAUAUGGUGAUCCUGCUAAUGCUGGGACCACUCAAAGGUUAGUUUUAAAUUCGUAGUAGAAGGGGCUAAUUUGUCUCCGCAGAAUUUCUGGAAGCUAUUUCUCAUUGAUUUUGACUUCUUCUUAGUUGAUCUUAUUCUCAAUAAAUGCAUCAUCAAUCUAUUUAUCGGCUAUCUUAUUAAAUCUGCAUAUAUUAUCGAGUAAUGUACACAUGUGAUCUACCAGCUGAAAUAUAUCAAUCCAGAUUGUAAUGGCUCCAUUAUAUCUAAUUACUUCUCAUUUUGUCAUCUUACAUGGCUAAGUUUCUUUUGCAGAG
This 336-nucleotide long non-coding RNA is filed under the name Linum usitatissimum (flax). RNAcentral's name for it is "long non-coding RNA (LUSI_LNC001136)". The record is from RNAcentral. Lineage: Eukaryota; Viridiplantae; Streptophyta; Magnoliopsida; Malpighiales; Linaceae.